This 232-nucleotide ribosomal RNA is filed under the name uncultured Florenciella. Its description in RNAcentral is "partial Bacterial large subunit ribosomal RNA". It matches the Rfam family "Bacterial large subunit ribosomal RNA", at positions 1292 to 1528 of the family's 2925-position model. Lineage: Eukaryota; Dictyochophyceae; Florenciellales. The record is from RNAcentral.
GAAUGCUGACAUGAGUAACGAUAAUGGGUGUGAAAAACACCCACGCCGAAAGACCAAGGUUUCCUGCGCAACGUUAAUCGACGCAGGGUUAGUCGGUCCCUAAGGCGAGGCUGAAAAGCGUAGUCGAUGGAAAACAGGUUAAUAUUCCUGUACUUCUGGUUAUUGCGAUGGAGGGACGGAGAAGGCUAGGCCAGCUUGGCGUUGGUUGUCCAAGUUUAAGGUGGUAGGCUGG